RNAcentral lists this ribosomal RNA (253 nucleotides) under uncultured bacterium. RNAcentral's name for it is "partial 16S ribosomal RNA". It matches the Rfam family "Bacterial small subunit ribosomal RNA", at positions 524 to 776 of the family's 1533-position model. The record is from RNAcentral.
UACGGAGGGGACUAGCGUUGUUCGGAAUUACUGGGCGUAAAGCGCACGUAGGCGGAUUUGUAAGUCAGGGGUGAAAUCCCGGGGCUCAACCUCGGAACUGCCUUUGAUACUGCAAACCUCGAGUCCGGAAGAGGUGAGUGGAAUUCCUAGUGUAGAGGUGAAAUUCGUAGAUAUUAGGAAGAACACCAGUGGCGAAGGCGGCUCACUGGUCCGGUACUGACGCUGAGGUGCGAAAGCGUGGGGAGCGAACGGG